CUGAACCCGGGGAGUCUUCACAUGUAGAUGGAUGGAUAGGUCUGAUUUUUCCAACUGAAGCACACUUGCAAGGGUCAGCACAAAGCCAGAAACCCAGUAGGUUCUGCCAGCCGCAGCAGCCUGUGCCCAGCAGGAGACCUGGUUUUGGGCCUGGGGUGACUUUUGUUUACACUGUUGUCUUACUUGGCUGGGAGCUCUCCCUGGGAGAGUGAAGAACUGAUGCAGAGAAAUGGCCGAGUGCGGGAGAAAUGGGUUUCCACCAAAGCGAUUUACCCAAUUUUCUUUUUCUGUAUAUCCUUAUACAUUUUAAAGGCAGAUUUAUUGCUAGUAAAAGUGCUGGCUGGACAAAGCGCUCUCAUGCUGUGCGUUUGCUUUUUCUUCUCUUGAAUGUUUUUAAACCUCUCUAGGUGUUUUGUCUUUUUGACAUAGACUGGCAGAGAAACCUAGGCAUCCUGGAUUCCCGGUUCACUGCUGUAGGGGCUUUGCCGGCUUGCUGGCUGCCCAGCCUGGCCAACUCCAGCCCUGCAGGGCCCACUCAGCGGGCGUACAGCACCAGAUGGAGAGAGGGAAGGCAGACCCAGCAAGAAUCCUCACGAAGAGGAGCUAGCAGCCCCGGGAAGAGAAAGAUCGUGCAGGACCAGUUGGACAAGAGCCCAGCUCUGAGUAACUCCCUGCAUUCAGGGAAAAUAAAAUCACAAAUGAGAACAGCAGGGGGCCAAGGACCAGCUGGAGACAAAGGGGUGUUGUUAGCUUCGGGGUGGGGGCUGUGAGACAAGCAAGGCUCUAGUGAGAUGUUCCAAAGUCUGGCCUGCCAUGGACAGCUGCCACCCGAGCUGCAGGCCUGGAAUGUUGUCACAAGCUCAGCGAGCCAUGCUGUCUGCCUCAGCCCAGGACCCGGAAAGACUGAUGAGACAAGAAAGGCCUUGGGCUUCCUCUUGCCUCCUGCAUCUUUAGCCUUCCCUGAACUGCCCUGGCAACUUAGCAGUGGCAAUGAGACUGCAGGCAACAACAACAACAAAAGGAAAUCUAAAAAACAAGACAUGAGGACAGGCGUGGUGGCUCACAUCUGUAAUCCCAGCACUUUGGGAGGCCAAGGUGGGAGGAUCACAAGUCGGGAGUUCAAGACCAGCCUGGCCAAGAUAGUGAAACCCUGUCUCUAUUAA
Molecule: long non-coding RNA, 1163 nt
Filed under: Papio anubis (olive baboon)
Lineage: Eukaryota; Metazoa; Chordata; Mammalia; Primates; Cercopithecidae
Description: lncRNA (ENSPANG00000043735.1)
Source: RNAcentral